AAUGCUAAAGCAAAAUGCCUUAACUUGCAAAGUUAAAUAAUAUAGGUUAAAAUCCUAUUAGCAUCU
This 66-nucleotide transfer RNA is filed under the name Tabachnickia sp. DVL-2014. RNAcentral's name for it is "tRNA-Cys". It matches the Rfam family "tRNA". Rfam says of the family: Transfer RNA (tRNA) molecules are approximately 80 nucleotides in length. Their secondary structure includes four short double-helical elements and three loops (D, anti-codon, and T loops). Lineage: Eukaryota; Metazoa; Porifera; Hexactinellida; Amphidiscosida; Hyalonematidae. The record is from RNAcentral.